This 249-nucleotide ribosomal RNA is filed under the name Triticum aestivum (bread wheat). RNAcentral describes it as "partial small subunit ribosomal RNA". The record is from RNAcentral. Lineage: Eukaryota; Viridiplantae; Streptophyta; Magnoliopsida; Poales; Poaceae.
CAGAGUAUCACGCACCCGACGACCCGCACCCGGUCACCGAGCGCGAGGGCGCCCGAGCCGAGGCGGGCGGCGACGUGGUGCACCAUGUUGCCGCCUGCGGAGUCGCCGCAGACGAACACCCGGCCGAAGUCGGCGCACUCGGCGAGCCAGGCGUCGGUGCCGGCGGCCGCCUGGUCGCGGAGCCACGAGAGGACGGUCUCGGCGUCCCGGUGCGCGGCGGGGAGGCGGUGCUCCGGGGCGAGCCGGUAG